UAAUAAGUGUUUUAUGGCACUUUUUAAAUCCAUAUCCACCUUGUGUGCAAUGUCAGUCGAUCUUCUUCAUGGAGAUCGACCAAACAUCAACCUUUAUCUUUUAACUCUUUGUCUGAAAAAUAUUAUGAAUAAAACAAUUCAAAAUA
Molecule: unclassified non-coding RNA, 146 nt
Filed under: soil metagenome
Description: partial internal transcribed spacer 1
Source: RNAcentral